GGUCGAUUGGUCUAGUGGUAUGAUUCUCGCUUAGGGAGCACCCUGAGUCCGUUGCAACAUGCAGCUACUUGGUUAGACGCCGGUAUUGCGAGAGGUCCCGCGUUCGAGUCGCGGAUCGACCC
RNAcentral lists this transfer RNA (122 nucleotides) under Venturia inaequalis. RNAcentral describes it as "tRNA-Pro". The record is from RNAcentral. Lineage: Eukaryota; Fungi; Ascomycota; Dothideomycetes; Venturiales; Venturiaceae.